CAGCCGCCACGGUAAUACGAAGGGUGCAAGCGUUAAUCGGAAUUACUGGGCGUAAAGCGUGCGUAGGCGGUUUGUUAAGUCUGCUGUGAAAUCCCCGGGCUCAACCUGGGGAUGGCAGUGGAUACUGGCAAGCUAGAGUGUGUCAGAGGAUGGUGGAAUUCCCGGUGUAGCGGUGAAAUGCGUAGAGAUCGGGAGGAACAUCAGUGGCGAAGGCGGCCAUCUGGGACAACACUGACGCUGAGGCACGAAAGCGUGGGGAGCAAACAGGAUUAGAUACCCGUGUAGUCCCUGUCUCUUAUAC
Molecule: ribosomal RNA, 301 nt
Filed under: uncultured bacterium
Lineage: Bacteria
Description: partial 16S ribosomal RNA
Rfam family: Bacterial small subunit ribosomal RNA
Source: RNAcentral